Haemorhous mexicanus (house finch) is the source of this 534-nucleotide non-coding RNA. The record is from the annotation of a RefSeq genome assembly. NCBI's taxonomy places the organism in Eukaryota, Metazoa, Chordata, Aves, Passeriformes, Fringillidae.
AUGACCGACCUGCGGGACGAGGAUUCCGGAUCCUAUUUCUGUGCCCGAUCUGGCUCUGGCCACACCCACUUUGAGGCCCCUGACCAAUCAGGUUUCCCACCCCCAUGUCCCCUUGUCCCCGCAGGGCUCCGGGCGGCCGUGACCCUGCUGGAGUGCGGGGGGGACCUCCAGCCCCCCGGGGGGUCCCUGCGCCUCCUCUGCCGAGGGACUGGGUUCAGUUUUGGGAGUUUUGGGAUGGGCUGGAUCCGCCAGAGACCCGGGCAGGGGCUGGAAUUCGUCGCAAGGAUCAGUGACAGUGGUGGUUACACCGACUACGCGCCAUCGCUCCAGGGCCGGGUCAGGAUCUCCAGGGACAAUGGGCAGAGCUCGGUGACGCUGACCAUGACCGACCUCCGGGACGAGGAUUCCGGAUCCUAUUUCUGUGCCAAAGCCUCUUGCUCUGGGUGUGUUCCUGCUGCUGGUUAUGGUGACCACGCCCGCCAUGGCACCGAGCUCCUGGUUCUGGCUCCCUUCCCAUAACAGAGUCCCCAAACU